Molecule: ribosomal RNA, 331 nt
Filed under: Konetontli nayarit
Lineage: Eukaryota; Metazoa; Arthropoda; Arachnida; Scorpiones; Vaejovidae
Description: partial 12S ribosomal RNA
Source: RNAcentral
UAAAAUUUAUAAAAUUAGGUAGUAAAGAAUUUUCCGAAACCUAAAGAAUUUGGCGGUAUUUUAAAUAAUUGGAGGAACCUGUUAUUUAAUUGAUAUUCCACAACAUAUCUCACCUAAAUUUUAUUUGUAUAUCGUCGUUUUGAUAAUAUUUAAAAAUUAUUAUCAAUCCUAAUAAACUUUUAAAAAUCAGAUCAAGGUGCAGUAUAUUUAGGAUAUAAUGGGUUACAAUAUAAAAAUAUAUUACGGAUAUGGCUAUGAAAAUGUAAUUAAAGGAGGAUUCAAAAGUAAGGUUAAUAUAAAAUGUUAACUUGACUAAUAAUUUAAAAUAUGC